UUUUUUUGUGGCUGAAUAAUAUUCUAAUACAUAUAUAUGUAUAUAUAUAUACAUAUAUAUACAUAUAUAUAUGAUUUUUACCAAACAUCUUUAUCAGUUUGCCAAUUGACAGACUCCUGGGCUGCUUCCAAAUUUAGCUAUUGGAAAUAAUGCUACAAUAACAUAGGGGUACAUACAUCUUUUUGAAUUAGUGUUUUCUUAGUCUUUUGGAGAAUAUCUAGCUGCAAUGGCUGGAUCAUAUGGUAAUUCUAUUGUUAAUUUUUUUGAGGAACUUCCAUAGUGUUUUCCACAGUGGCUACACCAGUUUGCUUUCCCAUCAGCAGGGCAAGAGGGUUUCCCCUUUCUCCAACCCUUACCAACACUAGUUUCUUGUAUUUUGGAUUUUAGUCAUUCUGAUUGGCAUCAGGAAAUAUCUCAUUGUAGUUUUGAUUUGCAUUUUCUGGAUGAUGAAUGAUGUUGGGCAUCCUUUUCUGUGUCUGUUGGCCGUCUGUAAGUCUUCCGUAGAGAAAUGUUUGUUUGUGUCUUUCCCCAUUUUUAUUUUUUUUUAAUUUUAUUUAUUUAUUCAUGAGAGACAUAGAGAGAGAAGCAGAGACACGGGUAGAGGGAGAAGCAGGCUCCAUGCAGGGAUCCCGAUGUGGGACUUGAUCCCCAGAUCUGGGAUCACACCCUGGGCCAAAGGCAGAUGCUCAACAGCUGAGCCACACAGGCAUCCCACUUUUUAAUUGGAUUGUUUGUGGGUUUUUUGGUGUUGAGGUGUAUAAGUUUGGAAAGCAACUCUUUAUCAGGUAUGUGCUUUGCAAAUAUCUUCUCCCAUUUCAUAGGUUGUCUUUUAGUUUUGUAGGUUGUUUCCUUUGCUGUGCAUAGCUUUUUAUUUUGAUGUAGUCCCAGUAGUUUAUUUUUGCUUUUGUUUCCCUUACCUCAGGAGACAUAUCUAGAAAACUGCUGCCAUGGCCCAUGUCAGGGAAAUUACUGUGUAUGCUCCCUACUAGGAUUUUUAUGGUUCCAAGUCUCACAUUUAGUUCUUUAUUACAUUUUGAUUUUAUUUUUGUGAAUGGCGUAAGAAAGUGGUCCAGUUCCAUUCUUUUGCACGUAGCUGUCCAGUUUUUCCAACACCAUUUGUUGAAGAGACCUUUUCCUAUUGCAUAUUCUUACCUCCUUUGUCGUAGAUUAAUUGACCAUAUAGUCAUGGGUUUAUUUCUGAGAUCUCUAUUCUGUUCCAUUGAUCUAUCCAUCUAUUUUUGUGCAAGUACCAUACUGUUUCGAUUACUACAGCUUUGUAGUGUAUCUUGAUAAAUGGGAUGGCGAUGCAUCCCAUUUUGC
Molecule: long non-coding RNA, 1320 nt
Filed under: Canis lupus familiaris (dog)
Lineage: Eukaryota; Metazoa; Chordata; Mammalia; Carnivora; Canidae
Description: lncRNA (ENSCAFG00845004786.1)
Source: RNAcentral